This 423-nucleotide ribosomal RNA is filed under the name uncultured bacterium. RNAcentral describes it as "bacterial SSU rRNA". It matches the Rfam family "Bacterial small subunit ribosomal RNA", at positions 207 to 622 of the family's 1533-position model. The record is from RNAcentral.
AAGACCUUGCGCUUUUGGAGCGGCCGAUGCCUGAUUAGCUAGUUGGUGAGGUGAUGGCUCACCAAGGCGUCGAUCAGUAGUUGGUCUGAGAGGACGACCAGCCACACUGGGACUGAGACACGGCCCAGACUCCUACGGGAGGCAGCAGUGGGGAAUUUUGGACAAUGGGCGCAAGCCUGAUCCAGCCAUGCCGCGUGAGUGAAGAAGGCCUUCGGGUUGUAAAGCUCUUUCAGCCGGGAAGAAAAGGUUGCGACUAAUAAUCGCAAUCCAUGACGGUACCGAAAGAAGAAGCACCGGCUAACUACGUGCCAGCAGCCGCGGUAAUACGUAGGGUGCGAGCGUUAAUCGGAAUUACUGGGCGUAAAGCGUGCGCAGGUGGUUUUGUAAGUCAGAUGUGAAAGCCCCGGGCUCAACCUGGGAACU